Molecule: ribosomal RNA, 1963 nt
Filed under: human oral metagenome
Description: bacterial LSU rRNA
Rfam family: Bacterial large subunit ribosomal RNA
Source: RNAcentral
CGUGAGGGAAAGGUGAAAAGAACCCCGGGAGGGGAGUGAAAAAGAACCUGAAACCCUGUGCCGACAAGCAGAUAGAGCAAAGCAAUUUGUGAUAUCGUACUUUUUGUAGAACGGGCCAGCGAGUUAUGGUAUGCGGCAAGGUUAAUCACUGAAGGUGAGGAGCCGAAGGGAAACCGAGUCUUAAAAGGGCGAAAGUCGAAUACCAUAGACCCGAAACCGGGUGAUCUAUCCAUGGUCAGAGUGAAGUUUCGGUAAAACGGAAUGGAGGCUCGAACCGGGUAUGGUUUAAAACAUAUCGGAUGACCUGUGGAUAGGGGUGAAAAGCCAAUCGAACCCGGAUAUAGCUGGUUCUCCUCGAAAUAGCUUUAGGGCUAGCCUUUGGGAAAGAGUCUACGGGAGGUAGAGCACUGAAUGGUCGCGGGGCACGUGGUGUUACCAAGAUCUAUCAAACUCCGAAUACCCGCAAGAUACCCCAAGGAGUCAGACUAAGUGGGAUAAGCUUCUUAGUCGAAAGGGAAAGAGCCCAGCCCAUCAGCUAAGGUCCCCAAAUCCAAAUUAAGUGGCAAAGGAUGUAAUGCUACUCAGACAACCAGGAUGUUGGCUUAGAAGCAGCCAUACAUUGAAAGAGUGCGUAAUAGCUCACUGGUCAAGUGGAAUUGCGCCGAAGAUUUCCGGGGCUAAAAUUUGGUACCGAAGCUAUGGAUACCUGACGGUAUGGUAGAGGAGCAUCGUGUGAAAGGAAGAAGCAGCAUCGAAAGGAGCUGUGGACGAGACACGAGAGAGAAUGCUGGCAUGAGUAACGAGAAGGCGAGUGAGAAUCUCGCCCGUCGAAAGUCUAAGGUUUCCUGAGCAAGGCUCGUCCUCUCAGGGUAAGUCGGGACCUAAGGCGAGGCCGAAAGGCGUAGUCGAUGGAAGACAGGUUGAAAUUCCUGUACUAUCAAAAGCGAUAGAAGAGAAGUGGUGACGCAGGAGGAUAGGUUAAGCGCACGGAUGGAAGAGUGCGUUCAAGCAGGUAGAUAGACCUUGUAGGCAAAUCCGCAAGGUUAAUAUCGAGACGUGAUGAGGAUCGAAAAACAAGUAGAGAAGUAAUUGACUCCACACUGCCAAGAAAAGCCACUAUCAAGCGAAUGAUACCCGUACCGCAAACCGACACAGGUAGACAAGAAGAGAAUUCUAAGACGCGCGGAAGAACCUCUGUUAAGGAACUCGGCAAAAUGACCCCGUAAGUUCGCGAGAAGGGGUACCAUAAUUUGUGAAGAUAAAACUAUUGGAGCAGAAGAUGGUCGCAGCGAAACGGCCCAAGCGACUGUUUACCAAAAACACAAGUAUCUGCUAAAUCGAAAGAUGACGUAUAGGUGCUGACACCUGCCCGGUGCUGGAAGGUUAAGGGGAAAAGUAAGGGUUAAACCGAAGCUUAGAACUUAAGCCCCAGUAAACGGCGGCCGUAACUAUAACGGUCCUAAGGUAGCGAAAUUCCUUGUCGGGUAAGUUCCGACCCGCACGAAAGGUGUAACGAUUUGGGCACUGUCUCAACAGAGGAUCCGGUGAAAUUGUAGUAUGCGUGAAGAUGCGCAUUACCCACGACAGGACGGAAAGACCCCGUGGAGCUUUACUGCAGGCUGAUAUUGGAUUUCGGCAUAGGAUGUACAGGAUAGGUGGGAGACGAAGAAACCAGGGCGUCAGCUUUGGUGGAGUCGACCUUUGGAUACCACCCUUUCUGUGCUGGAAUUCUAACCUGGUACCGUAAGCCGGUACAGGGACACUGUCAGUUGGGCAGUUUGACUGGGGCGGUCGCCUCCUAAAAAGUAACGGAGGCGUUCAAAGGUUCCCUCAGAAUGGUUAGAAAUCAUUCGAAGAGUGCAAAGGCAAAAGGGAGCUUGACUGCGAGACCGACAAGUCGAGCAGGAACGAAAGUUGGACUUAGUGAUCCGGUGGUACCGAGAGGAAGGGCCAUCGCUCAACG